CUCUGCAGCCAAGUAUUAAUAACACAAGCGUACAAACCAGUUUCUCUCUCCUCUCCUCUCUCUCUCACUCUCUCUCUCUCUCUCUCUUCCCCUUUAUUCUAAUUCUUUCCCUACUCUCUAUUCUGUCUGUGACAUUUCUCUUAAUUCCUAGUACGAUUAGGUAUUGAUUCUCAUAAAAUCUGUCUUCGACUCUCUCUUCCAUUCCAUGCCCUCUCUUUCUGUGACUUGUGGAGGAGGAAUUCUCAUUUGCUAGUCUUUCCAAGAACCACUCCGACGACCUGGUUUCUCUCUCUCUCGCGUCCUCUCUCAUCAGGGAAAGAAAACUAUAGUACACGAUGCUAAAGAAUAUGAUGGAAGAGAAGCAGUUAGAUCUUAAUCAGCCACUUCUGUCUGUGAGACGAUUUUCACCUACAGCAGUCACCUUCGAAGCUGAUGACAAAAGGAAGACUGAUAAGUCAAUACCCAAACUUCCUCCUCUUCCCUUUUACAAAUCAGAACUGAAAUCAGGUCCAGUGGGGCACCCAGGUACUGUUCCUUUUGUAUGGGAGAAAGUCCCGGGAAGACCCAAGGAUGAAAGAAAUUCACAAACUCGGGGUCUUGAACAGCCUCCCACUACGCCAAGGCUUCCACCUGGAAGGGUUUUGAAUGCUAAGAAGCAAGCAUUGGAUAAAUGUUCUAAACGCACUACAACUGCUCAGUCCCCAACUGGAAAUGUACAUUCUGAUUUUAACAAUGUUUCAACCUUUGAUACAAAAGAAGUUACCAAGUGUGACAGCCUUAAAGAGGGGAUGGAUGAUAAGGAUAUUGCUGAUUCAGAGGAUGGUGAUGAGACCUAUUUAGAUGCACCUGACACACUUUCGAGGAGUGAAUCAUUCUAUUAUAACUGUAGUAUAAGUGGUUUGAGUGGACUGGACGGUCCAGAUGCCAAACCAUGUGGAACCUUCUCAACAGAUCCACAGACUCGUGACUUCAUGAUGGGUCGGUUCUUGCCUGCAGCAAAAGCAAUGGUUUCAGACACACCUCAAUAUGCUACCAGGAAGCAACCAGUUGCACGAGAGCAAGCAAUUUCUCAAGAGCAACCAAGAGGGAUGAAGAAGGUAGCGAGCGGGGUUAAGCAACAUCCACUUAAUCAAUAUAGGCCAAAUGAUUUGCCACAUAAUGUUCAAGAUAUAGCUGGGGCAAAAGUGAGAAUGAAGGUAUGAGAGGGCAACCGCAAUCACCCAUUUCUUCAGUUAGUAGACUGCGAGCUAAAUCUUCCUAUGCCAGUGCUUACAGAGAAGCUAAAAACGAGCAUUCUGGGGGUGAUGGACAUCAGGAAGCUGGGAUGCCUGAAGAUAGGAAUGAUUUGAAAUGUGAAUCCAACCAGAUCAAAAUAAGCGAAUGUCAGAAAUUAGAUGGGUCACCUGUAUAUAGGCGUCAGCAGGGUAGUAACAUAUCACCCUAUCGAAAGGAAUGCUUUCAUCAUGAAGAAAAAGGUUUUCUUGGUCUUCCUGAAAAAGCGAAGAAUUCCAGAGAUACUAUUAGCUCUGGAAAGUAUCGAAAAGGCCACAACAAUUUUAGGGAAUUAUUGGCCACUGAGAAUGUUACUCAAUGGGAAAUGGGCCCAGGGAGUCCUGUAUUUGAGAAGAAUCUGUAUAUUGAUUUUGUGCAUACUGUAAAAUCUCCGAAGUCGAAGUCACAUUCCUCAGAUACAAAGGGCCAUAUUAUUCAGUACAGAGGGAAUGAUAUUGAAAUUCCUGAGAAAAGUAAUGAAGUGAAAGAAACCCCUUCGGCAGAGUUUUCAUUCCAAGAUAUUGAGUGCUUGGGUGAUGGAAAUGAAAAGGCAAUAGUGCCAUUUCAAAGUUUGGAGUCUCCUGACUCCAGCUUUCUAUCUUGGUCUGGCAGAUCCAAGAAGGAUGAUCAAACAGACAUGAGAAAUGGUUUUUUAUCGGGUCAGGAUUCUAGCAAAUUCGCAAGCUCAAAAGUGGCUGAACAAGAAAGGUGUAACUUGAAAAGCCAACAUUUAGAGAAAUCAGUUCAUUGGGAAAAUUUUAAUGGGCUUACUCAGGAUUGUAUUACAUUGACAAGGGCGAAACUGAAUGAUGAGAAAAAGAGUGAUUUAAAAAGCCAACAGUCUAGAAAAUCAGGAACAGAAGAAAGUUCCCGUAGCCAUGUUCAGAAGUCUAUUACAUUGACCAGCUCAAAAGUGGCCAAUGGAGGAAAGAUUGAUUUAGAAAGUCAACGACUUGUGAAAUUUGGUAAUCAAGAAAGUUCCAAGGGCCACAAUUCACGACUGCCUCUUGGACCACCUUUACCGAAAUCUCCAUCAGAGUCUUGGCUAAAGCAUACCUUACCUAGUAUUUCCUCGAGGAGCUCAUCUUCACAGUGUUCUUCUGGUUCACAGAUUUAUGCUAGCAGCCAGCCUUCGAAGACGUCCUCUCUUGGUCCCAAAUGGGAGACAAUUGUUAAAACUUCUAACAAGCACCAUGGACAUCUGCGGUUUUCAGAGGAGCUUCUGACACCUAUACCGGAAGCUUAGAAGUCGGAUGUUUAUCUGAAGCUCACCAGCUUACGUGAAUAUCCACUCUUUCUAUGGGUGUAAAGUGUUCCUAAGAAACUGUUGCAAAAGUGAACCAUUUAUCACAUCAGUGGAGUUGCCGUUGCUAUAUGUGAUGUCUCUGAUAUUCAACAGGGAAUAGUGAUGGUUUUGGGUCAAUCGGCCGUGCACGAAUGGGCUGCUCAUAAAGCACCAACGGCUGGAAGCCGUACACAGGCAACUGUACCAAGUCAACUCCUUACUGGAAAAAGAUUGUGGCACAUCUCAUUAGUUAUUGUUAAGUUGUGUGUGGUGUAACUGCUGUUAAUAUUAAUUUGUUCUGCCAGGCGAAUGGUACCAUCUUUACCUCAUAUUGGUUUUUCAUGCUUUUGCUGAAUAUUGACUUCCUGAACUGCUCAGAACUCCUUUGAACUCUCUUUGCUUGCAAAUUAAAAGUUUGCAGGUUGCUAUUAUAGGGGAGUUCUUGUCAGCUGCCUUGCUGCCACUGGAACCACUAGCUGUACGUGUUGCUGCUCAAUGAAUUUUCUGUACUGUUUCAUAUCUAUGUCCUAUAUAUCUAAUCUGCUAUGUCCUAUAAAUCUGUAUUCUUCGGUUGGAUCUCGAUAAGCAGCUCAGAACUUCACCCGUCCCAAAUUUAAAAAAAUUAUAUUUCUUUCAAACCUCCUUACAUUACAUGAUUUCCAUUGAGUUAAAGAAAAGUAGUUUUGUGACUGGCCUACUAGAGUUCUAUUCUGACAUGGUUAUACGUAUACUGGAUACUUUGUAUGUAACUACAUAUAACACAGGAAUUGUGCACUUUUUAAGAGAAAGUAAGGAUUGUACCGUUUUCGUAUGUGAUUCCACUGGUGUAUCUGAUUCGAUCCUGAUCCUUUUUGGUGGUGCAUUGAACCAUGGAGUCCAGGUUGGGCAUUUGAGAAUGUUGGACGGUUGUAUCGAUUUCUUCCUGGAUCCUAGGUUGGUGGACUGCUAAAGGAAGAAGUUAAUGAGCUUAUUCAAAAGAAGCUUGCAGAUCCUAGCCUUGAUAUCGACAAGGAAGGGAAGUACCUUAUGCUUGCUAUUCAAGAGCUGGUAUCUGGAGAUCAAUAUGAAGGGAGAUUUGUAUUUGGUCGUGACUGCAGGAAGCCAAAGGAGUCUGGUGAUAACAGCAGAUUCACUAAAGACGGGACCAAUCCCAUGAGUUUGCCUCAAACUCUGUUGAUGAAAGCAGGACACUGCUCCAAAAUACAAAACAAAGCACCUUGAGACGAACGAGUUGAGAGGACUGGUGGAGUGCAAGGGCAUGUAAUUUGUUGGGAAACCUAAGAAAAAUAAGCAGCUUGCAGAAAGGGAUGCUGCUAUAUAAGCACUGGCUUGGUUGACUCACACAUCAGACAACAAUUGUGAUGAAGAAGACAACUCCCCGCCUGAUGGCACUGACAAGAUGCUAAAACUCCUCGGAAAUGUAGAAGAUCAAAAUGGCAGUCUGGUUGAAUGUGAUUACAGAUGUAAAAGAUGAAGCUGCUUCCAUCUGGUGGUUGAGGACGCUGUAAGCCAUAUCUCCCUAGGACACAUGGGGCGCGUUGCAUACAUUCAGCUUGUUGGUACGUAGUUUUGGUAGAGUGGGCUAGUAUAUAUACAAAUCUUUUCCUUGUGUUUGCAGGGGUGUCAUAGAUGGUCGAAGCCGUCUGGAUUGUAUCUUGGCAGCCGGUGACACUAGUCACUGAGUCUGCUAAGUUAUGCAAAGGGGUGUGUGGAUAGCACCACCCUAAAACUAUUUACAACGAUUGUUCUUGUAAACUUGUUAGAUAUCUCGGGUUGCACGAUUUCUUGUAAUUUGUAGCUAAUUCUAUUAAAUCUAUUACCAAUUUCAAUCCAAUCAUCUAUGGUCAGACAAGGCCCGGCCGUAGAUUGAUUUUUCAA
Molecule: RNA transcript, 4435 nt
Organism: Pyrus x bretschneideri (Chinese white pear)
Lineage: Eukaryota; Viridiplantae; Streptophyta; Magnoliopsida; Rosales; Rosaceae
Exons: 8
Source: RefSeq, a predicted model, not a curated record